This 440-nucleotide ribosomal RNA is filed under the name uncultured bacterium. Its description in RNAcentral is "partial 16S ribosomal RNA". It matches the Rfam family "Bacterial small subunit ribosomal RNA", at positions 338 to 795 of the family's 1533-position model. The record is from RNAcentral.
CCUACGGGAGGCAGCAGUAGGGAAUAUUGCACAAUGGGGGAAACCCUGAUGCAGCGACACAGCGUGCGUGAUGAAGUAUUUCGGUAUGUAAAGUUCUAUCAGAAGGGAAGAAAAUGACGGUACCUGAAUAAGAAGCCCCGGCUAACUACGUGCCAGCAGCCGCGGUAAUACGUAGGGGGCAAGCGUUAUCCGGAUUUACUGGGUGGAAAGGGAGCGUAGACGGGUUCGCAAGUCUGAAGUGAAAAGCCGGGGCUUAACCCCGGAACUGCUUUGGAAACUGGGCAGCUAGAGUGAGGGAGAGGUAAGUGGAAUUCCUAGUGUAGCGGUGAAAUGCGUAGAUAUUAGGAGGAACACCAGUGGCGAAGGCAGCUUACUGGACUGUAACUGACGUUGAGGCUCGAAAGCGUGGGGAGCAAACAGGAUUAGAUACCCUAGUAGUC